RNAcentral lists this long non-coding RNA (1155 nucleotides) under Sus scrofa (pig). Its description in RNAcentral is "lncRNA (ENSSSCG00015034833.1)". Lineage: Eukaryota; Metazoa; Chordata; Mammalia; Artiodactyla; Suidae. The record is from RNAcentral.
AUGAAUCACUCCCUGAUGGCUACAGAUCAUCAAUUUUCUGAUUCUCUCUUUCUUUUGACACUGACAUUCUUCUCUGAAGAAGAGCUUCCUUUACUCCCUGGGAUGAACANGUACUUCUCAAAAGGUGUCAUGCUUGCCUCCAGUGGUGAGAAGUUGGCCACUCUCUCCCCUUCCUCCCUCCCUUCUUUCCUUCCUUAUUCUUUCUUUCCUUCUUUCUUUUCUUCCAGUUAUUUCUUUCCUUCGCUUUUUAUUUUUUUUUAUUAUGCUGAAGGGCCCAUGAUUUUAUAUGUAUUGCCUGUUGUGUUCAAAUCUUUGAGCACUUCCUUCUUUCUCACACAAGACAUCCCAGGCCCACUCCAGGCUGCCCCUGCUCCAGAUCUACCACAGCCAACCUCUCAAAGAGCCCUGGGUAUUCGGUGUGGAUAUAGGAUUUAGAGCCUAGAAUCUGGCUCUGGGUGUGCUCCCUGCCAGGAAGGUGACAUACAUCAAUGUGCAGAAGAAAGAUUUGCAACCAGAGAGUUACUGGGGAUUGGCCAGAUCCCACAGACAGCUGUGGCAGAGUAGGGGCUGAACUCUCAGACUCCCAGCUCUCUUCUCAGGCCCUUUGGAGCGAGGAGUGAUUUCCAGCUAAGUCAGUUCUAGGUCUACGUCCCACAGCCUGUGGUUCUCCCAAGGGAGCCCUCGUCAGGCAUCCUUUUCAUAUUGGCUUCACCCUGUGGUCAUGUAAACCCUUCUGGGGUUUACUCAGAAAAUGAAUAAUUUCAAGAGCACUGGAAAAGCCCAGGCCCAGAAAUAACGCUGCUCACCCACUAGUGAUGUUGCAAAUUCCACCAUUCACUCCUAAAUAUCAAGAUUUAGAUCUCUAUUGGAGUUCCCGUCGUGGUACAGCAGAAAUGAAUCAGACUAGGAACCAUGAGGUUGCAAGUUCAAUCCCUGGCCUCACUCAGUGGGUUAAGGAUCCGGCGUUGCCAUGAGCUGUGGUGCAAGUCACAGAUGUGGCUCAGAUCUGGCGUUGCUGUGACUGUGGUAUAGGUCGGCCCCUGGAGCUCCAAUUAGACCCCUAGCCUGGGAACCUCCAUAUGCCAAGGGUGUGGCCCUGAAAAAGACAAAAAAAAAGCCAAUAAAUGAAUAAAUAAAUAAAUAGAUAAAUAGAUA